This 507-nucleotide ribosomal RNA is filed under the name uncultured bacterium. Its description in RNAcentral is "bacterial SSU rRNA". It matches the Rfam family "Bacterial small subunit ribosomal RNA", at positions 28 to 507 of the family's 1533-position model. The record is from RNAcentral.
GAUGAACGCUAGCGACAGGCUUAACACAUGCAAGUCGAGGGGCAUCGGGACGUAGCAAUACGUUGCCGGCGACCGGCGGAUGGGUGAGUAACGCGUAUGCAACCUGCCCACGACAGGGGGACAGCCCGUUGAAAGACGGAUUAAUACCCCGUAACACAGGGGCUCCGCAUGGAGAUUAUUGUUAAAGGGAUACUUCCUUCGGGGGGUAUUCCGGCUGAAGAUGGGCAUGCGUUCCAUUAGGUAGUUGGUUGAGGUAACGGCUCACCAAGCCUACGAUGGAUAGGGGAACUGAGAGGUUGGUCCCCCACACUGGUACUGAGACACGGACCAGACUCCUACGGGAGGCAGCAGUGAGGAAUCUUGGUCAAUGGACGGAAGUCUGAACCAGCCAUGUCGCGUGAAGGAGGACGGCCCUAAGGGUUGUAAACUUCUUUUGCAGCGGAAUAAAGUAUUCCACGAGAUGGGAUAUUGCAAGUACGCUGCGAAUAAGGAUCGGCUAACUCCGUG